This is a long non-coding RNA of Drosophila innubila, 375 nucleotides long. RefSeq lists it as uncharacterized. The transcript has 2 exons. NCBI's taxonomy places the organism in Eukaryota, Metazoa, Arthropoda, Insecta, Diptera, Drosophilidae. The record is from RefSeq and is a predicted model, not a curated record.
ACAAAAUAAAAUCUUCGCAUUGGAGAGAGAGAGAGAGAGAGCUUUGCUCUCUUAACUAAUGCUGCAGCUCGAACUGGAGGACGUAUGGAUAAGAGAGUCCAUUGCGGCUGCUGCAGCAGCAGUUGGUGCUUGCGCUCCUGAAAAAGGCCAUCCAGGGAGAGAUGGACAGUUAGAUGGAUGCUGUGGAUUGUGUUGUGGAUGUUGCUGUUGGCUCCUCCGCAUGUUGUUGUUGCUGCUGUUGUUGUUGGUACAAGAACUGCUUGGGCUUAUCAUGAGUAAAUCGAAUCAGUUUAUCUACAGUUAAUGCUAUGCACAGAUGUGUACGUGUUUCUCACUCGUGGCCAUAAUAAGAAUUGUUAACUAAAAUUAGUAACU